AACAUCGCCUCUUGAUUAAUAUAAGAGGUCCAGCCUGCCCAGUGACUUCUGUUUAACGGCCACAGUAUCCUAACUGCGCAAAGGUAGCAUAAUCACUUGUUUUCUAAAUAAAGACUAGUAUGAAAGGCAUCACGAGGGUCAAACUGUCUCCUUUUUCUAAUCAGUGAAACUAAUCUUUUCGUGAAAAAGCGAAAAUAAUAUUAUAAGACGAGAAGACCCUAUGGAGCUUUAAACUUUAUAGCACUUGCACUAACCUAAAUUAACCCUCAAUACGCAUCUUGCUAAAAGUUUUAGGUUGGGGUGACCGCGGAGAAAAAUUAAUCCUCCACAAUGAAUAGAACUAAAUCUUAAGUAAAAAGCCACAACUUGAUACAUCAAUACCCUUGACAUAUGUUGAUCCAAUGUUUUGACCAACGAACCAAGUUACCCUAGGGAUAACAGCGCCAUCCAUUUUGAGAGUUCCUAUCGACAAAUGGGCUUACGACCUCGAUGUUGGAUCAGGGCAUCCAAGUGGUGCAACCGCUACUAAUGGUUCGUUUGUUCAACGAUUAAAACCCUACGUG
This 563-nucleotide ribosomal RNA is filed under the name Phrynopus remotum. RNAcentral's name for it is "Phrynopus sp. n. AC-2020 partial large subunit ribosomal RNA". It matches the Rfam family "Bacterial large subunit ribosomal RNA", at positions 1812 to 2602 of the family's 2925-position model. The record is from RNAcentral. Lineage: Eukaryota; Metazoa; Chordata; Amphibia; Anura; Strabomantidae.